CGGCUUUGACAGCGAGAGGUCAAAUCGACUAAAUUCAAAGAUACAAUUUUACAGUCAUGAUGUGACAAAUUUUUAAUAUGGUGUAAAAUUUAUUCUAAUAUUAAAUGUGUUAAGUUCCAGUAUUUCCCCAAAUAGGGGACCAAGUCUGGGGUUGGAGUCGGAACCUACCAACCUGAAUUCGCAUGCUCCGCUUCGUUCCGGAAGGUUCCCGUGCUGGAUCCGGAACCCUUUUUUUGAAGACGGCCACCUCCAAGUUCGACGUUCUGCGACGUAGUGCAGGGAAGUGACCCCUAUCAAGGACUCGUUUCACCACUGUUAAUUGCCAGCUCAGAAAAGAUCCACGACCUUGUCUUUCCUUUAGUUUUUUUUAUUUUUUUAAAAUUAUAUUUCGUAAAAUUUAC
Cydia splendana is the source of this 401-nucleotide long non-coding RNA. RefSeq lists it as uncharacterized. Lineage: Eukaryota; Metazoa; Arthropoda; Insecta; Lepidoptera; Tortricidae. The record is from RefSeq and is a predicted model, not a curated record. The transcript has 2 exons.